Long non-coding RNA from Esox lucius (northern pike), 622 nucleotides. Lineage: Eukaryota; Metazoa; Chordata; Actinopteri; Esociformes; Esocidae. The record is from Ensembl.
CCUGGGAGCACUCCUGUGGACUGACACUGGGGAAGUAGGAGUGGUGCUCACCUCUUGUACCGUCGCCAUGCGUUGGUUUACCUGGACAGUACACUGCCUACUGCUGGAUCCUGUCCUGCUAGGACUCUGUGUGGAAGGUCGAGGGAGAGCAUCUGAUACGGCUGCCUCCCUCCCAAAGAACAACUCUCCCGUCUCCCGGCACUCAGCAGCCCUACAGAACAGGAAGGGUUCCUACCCCUCUAUGCUCACCCUGCACCCGGGUACAGGUGGCCAUUCCAGUGGGCCCUCUAAAGUUAUAUCCUCGGAUGAGAACAUCACCACAGAGCGUGACAUCAUCGACCUGGACCCCCGCAGCCCCUCCCCAGACCCCGGUGUGUUCAUGGAAGAGAACCUGCUGCCCGCUGAGGUGUUACCAGCGAAGCAGGGAAAGACUAGCGGUAGCCCUAUCAUACGGAGAAGCCGCGGGAAGAGUGCUGAUGUAGGACGGGCUAGAUCUGACCACACAGGCUUACUGACAGUGGCCCCUAAUCCUAGUGAGGGAGAUCUCAUACUGGGAUCUGACAACAGAAUUUACAGGCUCCUGAGUGGCCCUCCAGGGCCAGAGGGCCCUCCGGGAAAAACA